RNAcentral lists this long non-coding RNA (870 nucleotides) under Triticum aestivum (bread wheat). Its description in RNAcentral is "long non-coding RNA (TAES_LNC012296)". Lineage: Eukaryota; Viridiplantae; Streptophyta; Magnoliopsida; Poales; Poaceae. The record is from RNAcentral.
AGCAGCACCGUCCGAGAGCGAAGAGGCAAACUCACUGUCCGAUAGUCUAUCCACCCUGACCACAGACGACGCCACCUCAAAUGCUCCAGCUGCAGAAAACGGGAGCGACACCACCUCGAAUGCUCCAGCUGCAGAAAACGGGACCGGCGCCACCCCAGAUGCUCCACCUGCAGAAAACGGGAACAACGCCACCCCAGAUGCUCCACCUGCAGAAAACGGGAACGACGCCACAUGAUCCUGAUGGUUAUAUUUUCAUCCGUAGCACUGUCCAUCAAUUAGCUUUAUAUACAAGGGUUGGUACCAAAAGUUGCUGCUGCUACCAGAAGUGAUUUUUUCUCUUUUCAGGUAGCAUAAUAGGUACACACCAUCAUACAGAUAGAUCGUAGCCGCCGUUUGUUCAUUAAGUUAAAUUUUGCUGAAUAGUAAGUACUAUACGGGAGAAAGAGAGAGAAAUACAGACACAUACAUAUAGUAGGCCGCCGGUUGGUUUGGUUGGCUGGCCAUUUCCUGUACACUCUUUAGUGCACAGCUCCAUUGCUCAACUCGUGCCUUGUCGGUCCGUCCAUGUGCUCCGUAUUUUUUUUCCUUCCAGUUUGCUGUACUGCUUGGACCAUUAUCGUUUUUGUACCAAACUGUCGUCGCUGCUGUGGAGUGUGGACCAUGCAUGGUGAGCUGUACAUAAACAUGUUGAUUUCUGGCAUGCCAAGGUAUCGUUGUACACAUUAUGGUAGCACAGUAGUACUCCCUCUUUAAACUAAUAUUAGAGCUUUUAGACUACUAAGACUAGCCAUAGUGGAGUAACUUCGAUAGUAACAUCGAGUCUAACUUAGCAAAUUUUCUUAUGUGGCAAUGAGUUAAUGAGGAGAGAUG